This 253-nucleotide ribosomal RNA is filed under the name uncultured bacterium. RNAcentral describes it as "partial 16S ribosomal RNA". It matches the Rfam family "Bacterial small subunit ribosomal RNA", at positions 524 to 776 of the family's 1533-position model. The record is from RNAcentral.
UACAGAGGGGGCAAGCGUUGUUCGGAAUUACUGGGCGUAAAGGGCGCGUAGGCGGCCCGCUAAGUCGAACGUGAAAUCCCCGGGCUCAACCCGGGAACUGCGUCCGAUACUGGCAGGCUUGAAUCCGGGAGAGGGAUGCGGAAUUCCAGGUGUAGCGGUGAAAUGCGUAGAGAUGGGGGAGAACACUCGUGGCGAAGGCGGCCAGCUAGACCAGUUCUGACACUGAGGCGCGACAGCGUGGGGAGCAAACAGG